AAAGGGAGACCUAAUUCAGGUAAAGGACGAAAAAAAGUAGUCGCUACCAAGAAUCAAUCCCAAAAGGUCGGAGCGAGGCGAAAUUGGCUUUCAAACUAGGUUCUGGGUUCAAACAAGACCUGAAUCAGGAACAAGGGCUAUUAGCUCAGGUGGUUAGAGCGCACCCCUGAUAAGGGUGAGGUCCCUGGUUCGAGUCCAGGAUGGCCCACCUGCACAGGUGGCAAAAACAAGAGAAGCGAGGAAUCAGCACCUUAUCUUACUUAUAUAGUAAGAGAGAAUGCUGGCUCUGAGUAAAGAGUCCAGAGGAACCUUGAAAACUGCAUAGAGCUAGGUGAAAAAGCCAAAAAAGAAGACCGCAAG
This 360-nucleotide transfer RNA is filed under the name uncultured Microcystis sp. RNAcentral describes it as "partial 16S-23S ribosomal RNA intergenic spacer". The stretch from base 135 to 208 matches the Rfam family "tRNA". The record is from RNAcentral. Lineage: Bacteria; Bacillati; Cyanobacteriota; Cyanophyceae; Chroococcales; Microcystaceae.